Molecule: ribosomal RNA, 253 nt
Filed under: uncultured bacterium
Lineage: Bacteria
Description: partial 16S ribosomal RNA
Rfam family: Bacterial small subunit ribosomal RNA
Source: RNAcentral
UACGUAGGGUGCGAGCGUUGUCCGGAAUUAUUGGGCGUAAAGAGCUUGUAGGCGGUUUGUCGCGUCUGCUGUGAAAAUCCGGGGCUCAACCCCGGACUUGCAGUGGGUACGGGCAGACUAGAGUGUGGUAGGGGAGACUGGAAUUCCAGGUGUAGCGGUGAAAUGCGUAGAUAUCUGGAGGAACACCGGUGGCGAAGGCGGCAUCCUGGACCGAUACUGACGCUGAGGAGCGAAAGCCAGGGGAGCAAACGGG